GAUGAACGCUGGCGGUAUGCUUAACACAUGCAAGUCGAACGGACUCUUCGGAGUUAGUGGCGGACGGGUGAGUAACGCGUGAGAAUCUGGCUUUGGGUUCGGGACAACCACUGGAAACGGUGGCUAAUACCGGAUGUGCCGAGAGGUAAAAGAGAAAUUGCCUGAAGAUGAGCUCGCGUCUGAUUAGCUAGUUGGUGAGGUAAAGGCUCACCAAGGCAGCGAUCAGUAGCUGGUCUGAGAGGAUGACCAGCCACACUGGGACUGAGACGCGGCCCAGACUCCUACGGGAGGCAGCAGUGGGGAAUUUUCCGCAAUGGGCGAAAGCCUGACGGAGCAAUACCGCGUGAGGGAAGAAGGCUCUUGGGUUGUAAACCUCUUUUCUUAGGGAAGAACAAAAUGACGGUACCUAAGGAAUCAGCAUCGGCUAACUCCGUG
Molecule: ribosomal RNA, 435 nt
Filed under: uncultured bacterium
Lineage: Bacteria
Description: partial 16S ribosomal RNA
Rfam family: Bacterial small subunit ribosomal RNA
Source: RNAcentral